AUGGGAACAAUAUUUAUGCCUAUGUUGGUGAACCUAUUAUUAUGUUGUGCUAUGAGAACAAUAUUUAUGCCUUUGUUGGUGAACCUUUUAUUAUCUUGGAGCGAUGGGAACAAUAUUUAUGCCUAUGUUGGUGAACCUAUUAUUAUGUUGUGCUAUGAGAACAAUAUUUAUGCCUUUGUUGGUGAACCUUUUAUUAUGUUGUGCUAUGAGAACAAUAUUUAUGCCUUUGUUGGUGAACCUUUUAUUAUCUUGUGUUAUGAGAACAAUAUUUAUGCCUUUGUUGGUGAACCUUUUAUUAUGUUGUGCUAUGAGAACAAUAUUUAUGCCUAUGUUGGUGAACCUAUUACUAUCUUGUGCUAUUGGAAUAAUAUUUAA
This 375-nucleotide ribosomal RNA is filed under the name Triticum aestivum (bread wheat). RNAcentral describes it as "partial small subunit ribosomal RNA". Lineage: Eukaryota; Viridiplantae; Streptophyta; Magnoliopsida; Poales; Poaceae. The record is from RNAcentral.